RNAcentral lists this ribosomal RNA (253 nucleotides) under uncultured bacterium. RNAcentral's name for it is "partial 16S ribosomal RNA". It matches the Rfam family "Bacterial small subunit ribosomal RNA", at positions 524 to 776 of the family's 1533-position model. The record is from RNAcentral.
UACAGAGGGGGCAAGCGUUGUUCGGAAUUACUGGGCGUAAAGGGCGCGUAGGCGGCCUUCUAAGUCGAACGUGAAAUCCCCGGGCUCAACCCGGGAACUGCGUCCGAUACUGGAAGGCUUGAAUCCGGGAGAGGGAUGUGGAAUUCUAGGUGUAGCGGUGAAAUGCGUAGAUAUCUGGAGGAACACCGGUGGCGAAGGCGACAUCCUGGACCGGUAUUGACGCUGAGGCGCGAAAGCCAGGGGAGCAAACGGG